Molecule: ribosomal RNA, 618 nt
Filed under: Triticum aestivum (bread wheat)
Lineage: Eukaryota; Viridiplantae; Streptophyta; Magnoliopsida; Poales; Poaceae
Description: partial small subunit ribosomal RNA
Source: RNAcentral
AUGCAGGAAUCGCUCAUCACCGGUGAUUCGUUUCAGGGGACAUCGCCCCAGACGGCGCCCGCUGGUGCGCCAACAGCAGCCCAGUGCGAUACAAAAGUGCGGAUGACGCUUACGGCGGCGCUACGGCGGCGGUUGGAUCCCACCAUCGUGCCACUGGAUCCUCCGCCUUCAAGCCCCUGCAUCUCCAGUGAGCGUUGUGCGCGUACGGUCCUGAUCCAGUGCAUGCGGCUUCGAUCCAGCAUGUCCCAGCCGCCGCCGCAAAAUGCUGCUCCGGCCGCUGCUUUGGCAGUCCAAGUGCCCCACCGAAGUCCGUCCGAGUUCCUCUGUCCGUGCUCCUUCGUGUCGAAGCUUCUGCCAGCAGUAGUGCAGAAAUCUGAAGAUCAUUUGGUGUGUCUUCAGCAAACGUUGCGUCGAGCCACUGGCACAUGUUCGCAUCCUCCAUCAUCUCGCUUUUCUACUAUUCCUCAUGUUCUAGCCAUUGGCACAUAUGCAAAGAAAUUGGUGUUUUGGUCCGUUGGUUUCAGUUUAACAAGAGCUUCAGUAAUGGAAAACUUGAGUUUUCUUCCAAGUUUAUCUCGAAAAUGCAUGACAGCCGACUGUCCAUUUAAUCAGAGAUGA